UACGUAGGGGGCAAGCGUUGUCCGGAUUUAUUGGGCGUAAAGAGCGUGUAGGCGGCCAGGUAGGUCAGCUGUGAAAACUCGAGGCUCAACCUCGAGACGUCGGUUGAAACCACCUGGCUAGAGUCCGGAAGAGGAGAGUGGAAUUCCUGGUGUAGCGGUGAAAUGCGCAGAUAUCAGGAGGAACACCGGUGGCGAAGGCGGUUCUCUGGGCAUUACCUGACGCUGAGGAGCGAAAGUGUGGGGAGCGAACAGG
RNAcentral lists this ribosomal RNA (253 nucleotides) under uncultured bacterium. RNAcentral's name for it is "partial 16S ribosomal RNA". It matches the Rfam family "Bacterial small subunit ribosomal RNA", at positions 524 to 776 of the family's 1533-position model. The record is from RNAcentral.